GACGAACGCUGGCGGCGUGCUUAACACAUGCAAGUCGAACGGAAAGGCCCUGCUUUUGUGGGGUGCUCGAGUGGCGAACGGGUGAGUAACACGUGAGUAACCUGCCCUUGGCUUUGGGAUAACUUCAGGAAACUGGGUCUAAUACCGGAUAGGAGCUCCUGCUGCAUGGUGGGGGUUGGAAAGUUUCGGCGGUUGGGGUUGGACUCGCGGCUUAUCAGCUUGUUGGUGGGGUAGUGGCUUACCAAGGCUUUGACGGGUAGCCGGCAUGAGAGGGUGACCGGCCACAUUGGGACUGAGAUACGGCCCAGACUCCUACGGGAGGCAGCAGUGGGGAAUAUUGCACAAUGGGCGGAAGCCUGAUGCAGCAACGCCGCGUGCGGGAUGAAGGCCUUCGGGUUGUAAACCGCUUUCGCCUGUGACGAAGCGUGAGUGGCGGUAAUGGGUAAAGAAGCACCGGCUAACUACGUG
This 468-nucleotide ribosomal RNA is filed under the name uncultured bacterium. RNAcentral describes it as "partial 16S ribosomal RNA". It matches the Rfam family "Bacterial small subunit ribosomal RNA", at positions 28 to 507 of the family's 1533-position model. The record is from RNAcentral.